GUGAGGAAUUUUCCGCAAUGGGCGAAAGCCUGACGGAGCAAUGCCGCGUGAAGGAUGAAGGCCUAUGGGUUGUAAACUUCUUUUCUCAGAAAAGAAUUAUGACGGUAUCUGAGGAAUAAGCAUCGGCUAACUCUGUGCCAGCAGCCGCGGUAAGACAGAGGAUGCAAGCGUUAUCCGGAAUGAUUGGGCGUAAAGCGUCUGUAGGUUGUUUAAAAAGUAUUCUGUCAAAGAUUAGGGCUUAACCCUAGAUAGGCAGAAUAAACUUUUAAGCUAGAGUUUGGUAGAGGCAGAGGGAAUUCCCGGUGGAGCGGUGAAAUGCGUAGAUAGCGGGAGGAACACCAAAGGCGAAGGCACUCUGCUGGGCCAAUACUAACACUGAGAGACGAAAGCGAGGGGAGCAAAUGGGAUUAGAAACCCUUGUAGUCC
Molecule: ribosomal RNA, 426 nt
Filed under: uncultured bacterium
Lineage: Bacteria
Description: bacterial SSU rRNA
Rfam family: Bacterial small subunit ribosomal RNA
Source: RNAcentral